This 93-nucleotide transfer RNA is filed under the name Staphylococcus hominis. RNAcentral's name for it is "tRNA-Ser". It matches the Rfam family "tRNA". From Rfam's summary of the family: Transfer RNA (tRNA) molecules are approximately 80 nucleotides in length. The record is from RNAcentral. Lineage: Bacteria; Bacillati; Bacillota; Bacilli; Caryophanales; Staphylococcaceae.
GGAGACGUGGGUGAGUGGCUGAAACCAGCGGUUUGCUAAACCGCCGUACGGUGUAAAGCCGUACCGAGGGUUCGAAUCCCUCCGUCUCCGCCA